RNAcentral lists this transfer RNA (74 nucleotides) under Alphaproteobacteria bacterium. RNAcentral's name for it is "tRNA-Glu". It matches the Rfam family "tRNA". Rfam says of the family: Transfer RNA (tRNA) molecules are approximately 80 nucleotides in length. Their secondary structure includes four short double-helical elements and three loops (D, anti-codon, and T loops). The record is from RNAcentral. Lineage: Bacteria; Pseudomonadati; Pseudomonadota; Alphaproteobacteria.
GUCCCUUCGUCUAAUGCUUAGGACACCGCCCUUUCACGGCGGCAACAGGGGUUCGAAUCCCCUACGGGAUGCCA